RNAcentral lists this ribosomal RNA (460 nucleotides) under uncultured bacterium. Its description in RNAcentral is "partial 16S ribosomal RNA". It matches the Rfam family "Bacterial small subunit ribosomal RNA", at positions 338 to 795 of the family's 1533-position model. The record is from RNAcentral.
CCUACGGGCGGCAGCAGUGAGGAAUAUUGGUCAAUGGACGAGAGUCUGAACCAGCCAAGUAGCGUGAAGGAUGACUGCCCUAUGGGUUGUAAACUUCUUUUAUCAAGGAAUAAAACGAGGCACGUGUGCCUUUUUGCAUGUACUUUAUGAAUAAGCAUCGGCUAACUCCGUGCCAGCAGCCGCGGUAAUACGGAGGAUCCGAGCGUUAUCCGGAUUUAUUGGGUGUAAAGGGAGCGUAGAUGGGUUGUUAAGUCAGUUGUGAAAGUUGGGGGCUCAACCGUAAAAUUGCAAUUGAUACUGGCAGUCGUGAGUACAGUGGAGGUAGGCGGAAUGCGUGGUGUAGCGGUGAAAUGCUUAGAUAUCACGAAGAACCCCGAUUGCGAAGGCAGCUUACUAAACUGUGACUGACAUUGAUGCUCGAAAGUGUGGGUAUCAAACAGGAUUAGAUACCCGAGUAGUC